RNAcentral lists this long non-coding RNA (515 nucleotides) under Triticum aestivum (bread wheat). RNAcentral describes it as "long non-coding RNA (TAES_LNC014927)". Lineage: Eukaryota; Viridiplantae; Streptophyta; Magnoliopsida; Poales; Poaceae. The record is from RNAcentral.
AAUAACGCUGGCGGAAAGCACAAAGGCCUUGGCAUGGCGGGCCAAACUGCUGGAGAUACUCAGUGUUUUGAGUACACACAAUCACGGCUAUAUAUUGCAAUACGAUAAAUUCAGGGCGAACCAUACAGUCCAGGUCACACGCACAACACAAACUUAUUCCCAAAUUUAUUAACCGAUAUAGCGGCUAGCAUAGAGUAGCAGGUCGAGAGACGAUAGAUGAAUUAACUGAUGCUGCGUCCCGCUCUGAUCUUCUUUCGGUUCAGUCGCUGCUUGCGCUGCUGCUCGGGUUGGCGAAGACGUCGUCGAGAACAUCUUGGUCGACGAUGAAAUCCUCCGGAUCAGGUGCAGCGCCCACCAACGAAAAAAGCUCGGCGUCGGGAAACAUCAGGUCUUCAUCCAUGAGGAUCUCCUCCAGGAACAUCCCAUCUGCACCAUCUUCCUGCACAUCAUUGCUUUGCGGCACCACCACAUUCUCACCAUUACCACCAAGGUUUUCGGUCUGCUGCUGCUGCUGU